Molecule: ribosomal RNA, 262 nt
Filed under: uncultured bacterium
Lineage: Bacteria
Description: partial 16S ribosomal RNA
Rfam family: Bacterial small subunit ribosomal RNA
Source: RNAcentral
UAAUACAUGCAAGUCGUACGUGUGUAGCAAUACACAAGUGGCGAACGGGUGAGUAACACGUAAGAAUCUGCCCCUCGGUCGGGGACAACUUUUGGAAACGAAAGCUAAUACCCGAUACGCUGUGGAGUGAAAGAAUUUCGCCGAGGGAUGAUCUUGCGUCUGAUUAGCUAGUUGGUGCGGUAAUGGCGCACCAAGGCGACGAUCAGUAGCUGGUCUGAGAGGAUGAACAGCCACAUUGGAACUGAGACACGGUCCAAACUCC